Molecule: ribosomal RNA, 486 nt
Filed under: uncultured bacterium
Lineage: Bacteria
Description: partial 16S ribosomal RNA
Rfam family: Bacterial small subunit ribosomal RNA
Source: RNAcentral
GAUGAACGCUGGCGGCGUGCCUAAUACAUGCAAGUCGAACGCUGGAGAUCUAGCUUGCUAGAUCGAAGGAGUGGCGAACGGGUGAGAAAUACAUAAGCAACCUACCCACGAAGACUGGGAUAAUCUCUGGAAACGGGGACUAAUACCGGAUAGGUAAUCGGAAGGCAUCUUCUGGUUAUUAAAGGUUAAAAACACUGGUGGAUGGGCUUAUGGCGCAUUAGUUAGUUGGUGAGGUAACGGCCCACCAAGACGAUGAUGCGUAGCCGGCCUGAGAGGGUGAACGGCCACAUUGGGACUGAGACACGGCCCAGACUCCUACGGGAGGCAGCAGUAGGGAAUUUUCGGCAAUGGGGGCAACCCUGACCGAGCAACGCCGCGUGAGUGAAGACGGCCUUCGGGUUGUAAAGCUCUGUUGUAAGGGAAGAACGGUAGAUAGAGAAUAUCUAAGUGACGGUACCUUACCAGAAAGCCACGGCUAACUACGUG